Molecule: ribosomal RNA, 1118 nt
Filed under: uncultured organism
Description: bacterial SSU rRNA
Rfam family: Bacterial small subunit ribosomal RNA
Source: RNAcentral
CAUCAGCUAGUUGGUAGGGUAACGGCCUACCAAGGCAGAGACGGGUAUGGGGCGUGAGAGCGCGGACCCCCACACUGGCACUGAGAUACGGGCCAGACUCCUACGGGAGGCAGCAGUAAGGGAUAUUGCGCAAUGGACGAAAGUCAGACGCAGCGACGCCGCGUGGGCGAUGAAGGCCUUCGGGUUGUAAAGCCCUUUUAUGGGGGAAGAGAAAAAGGACGGUACCCCAGGAAUAAGUCCCGGCUAACUACGUGCCAGCAGCCGCGGUAAAACGUAGGGGACAAGCGUUAUCCGGAUUCACUGGGCGUAAAGAGCGUUGAGGCGGUUCCGUAAGUUGGGCGUGAAAGCUCCGGGCUUAACUCGGAGAUGUCGUUCAAUACUGCGGGGCUUGAGGACAGCAGAGGAAGGUGGAAUUCCCGGUGUAGUGGUGAAAUGCGUAGAUAUCGGGAGGAACACCCGUGGCGAAGGCGGCCUUCUGGGCUGUUCCUGACGCUGAAGGCGAAAGCUAGGGGAGCGAACGGGAUUAGAUACCCCGGUAGUCCUAGCUGUAAACGAUGGAUGCUGGGUGUGGGGGGUGUAAAUUCCCUCUGUGCCGAAGCAAACGCGUUAAGCAUCCCGCCUGGGGACUACGGCCGCAAGGCUAAAACUCAAACGAAUUGACGGGGGCCCGCACAAGCAGCGGAGCGUGUGGUUUAAUUCGAUGCUACACGAAGAACCUUACCUGGGUUUGACAUGCACGUGGUAGGGAACCGAAAGGGGACCGACCUUCGGGAGCGUGCACAGGUGCUGCAUGGCUGUCGUCAGCUCGUGCCGUGAGGUGUCGGGUUAAGUCCCGUAACGAGCGCAACCCUUGCCCUUAGUUACAAGUGUCUAAGGGGACUGCCCGGGACAACUGGGAGGAAGGUGGGGAUGACGUCAAGUCAGCAUGGCCUUUAUAUCCAGGGCUACACACACGCUACAAUGGCCGGUACAAUAGGUUGCGAAGUCGUGAGGCGGAGCCAAUCCUCAAAGCCGGUCUCAGUUCGAAUUGCAGUCUGCAACUCGACUGCAUGAAGCUGGAGUUGCUAGUAAUCGCAGGUCAGCUAUACUGCGGUGAAUACGUUCCCGGGCCUUGUACA